This 252-nucleotide long non-coding RNA is filed under the name Pan troglodytes (chimpanzee). RNAcentral's name for it is "long non-coding RNA NONPTRT004795". The record is from RNAcentral. Lineage: Eukaryota; Metazoa; Chordata; Mammalia; Primates; Hominidae.
GUAGAGGGGAAUUGGGAAAAUCACCCGCACAAAAUUCAUAAUGCUAGAAUGCAUUCAUAACCAAGACACCAUGCUGACAGACAAAAGCAAAAACAAUUUCAGCAUAUAAUUUCAUUUAAAUACAAAAAAACUCCCUAAAUAAUCUCAGGCAAAUAAAUAAAUUCUGUCCUCAUAUUUCUUCUGCUCACUGAUUCCUUGCAUUUUAUUUGCGCCGCUUAGAUCCCUGUACACAUUGUAUUACGGUUCACUGUU